Molecule: ribosomal RNA, 253 nt
Filed under: uncultured bacterium
Lineage: Bacteria
Description: partial 16S ribosomal RNA
Rfam family: Bacterial small subunit ribosomal RNA
Source: RNAcentral
UACAGAGGUCUCAAGCGUUGUUCGGAUUCAUUGGGCGUAAAGGGUUCGUAGGCGGUGUGGCAAGUCGGGAGUGAAAUCUCUGGGCUCAACUCAGAGACUGCUUCCGAAACUGCUGUGCUGGAGUGUGGGAGAGGCGCGUGGAAUUGCAGGUGUAGCGGUGAAAUGCGUAGAUAUCUGGAGGAACACCGGUGGCGAAGGCGACGUCCUGGACCGGCAUUGACGCUGAGGCGCGAAAGCCAGGGGAGCAAACGGG